UGAAUUUUCUGUCAGACAAAA
Molecule: non-coding RNA, 21 nt
Filed under: Caenorhabditis elegans
Lineage: Eukaryota; Metazoa; Nematoda; Chromadorea; Rhabditida; Rhabditidae
Source: RNAcentral